RNAcentral lists this long non-coding RNA (608 nucleotides) under Agrilus planipennis (emerald ash borer). RNAcentral's name for it is "uncharacterized LOC112906624, transcript variant X2". The record is from RNAcentral. Lineage: Eukaryota; Metazoa; Arthropoda; Insecta; Coleoptera; Buprestidae.
GUUAUUGGAGUGGCAGUUAUUUUAAUUUAUUUAAUUAAAGCAGUGGAUACUUAAUUAUUAAUUUUGAUUUAAUUUAACGGAAGACUACUUCCAGGCAUGGCCCCAAGCUAAAAGGAAUUUAUAUUUCUGUUAUUGUAACUAAUAAUUACAGCUAAUAUUAGCACAUUACAAGCACAAAUUCUUGUUAGCAACUUACAAUUUGAAAUCAUUGUUAAGAGUCUUUGAAAACAUAGUGAGAUUAAAUUUUUGCCAAGGACAGUUUGCAGCAGAAACAUGAAAUUCACUUUAGUCUGGGGCAAAUUCACCAAACGGAUACCUAACAAUGGGUUUUGUAUUAUGUUAUUUUUAAUCAAAAUAUUAGAAUUGCAUUAAAUCAUUAUCUGAUUGAAGCAGAAUGGCCUGCACAAAUAGGGGUGUGCGAACCUAGAAAGGUGGCAGCAAUAUCAUUAGCUAAUCGUGUCGCGGAUGAGAUGGGAACGUUUGUACAGGGCGAUACAGUCGGAUAUGCUGUGCGUUUCGAUGCAUGUACAAACCAGCCAAAGAUAAAGUAUAUGACCGAAGGAAUUCUCCUCAGAGAAAUCAUGGGUGAUCCUCUUUUAAAAAAUUAC